UAUUAUGAGAGUUUGAUCCUGGCUCAGGACGAACGCUGGCGGCGUGCCUAAUACAUGCAAGUCGAACGCUUCUUUUCUACCGAGUGCUUGCACUCAUUUGAAAAGAGGAGUGGCGGACGGGUGAGUAACACGUGGGUAACCUACCCAUCAGAGGGGGAUAACACUUGGAAACAGGUGCUAAUACCGCAUAAUAAUCGACACCGCAUGGUGUUGAUUUGAAAGGCGCUUUCGGGUGUCGCUGAUGGAUGGACCCGCGGUGCAUUAGCUAGUUGGUGNNAAGUCUGACCGAGCAACGCCGCGUGAGUGAAGAAGGUUUUCGGAUCGUAAAACUCUGUUGUUAGAGAAGAACAAGUAGGAGAGUAACUGCUCUUACCUUGACGGUAUCUAACCAGAAAGCCACGGCUAACUACGUGCCAGCAGCCGCGGUAAUACGUAGGUGGCAAGCGUUGUCCGGAUUUAUUGGGCGUAAAGCGAGCGCAGGCGGUUUCUUAAGUCUGAUGUGAAAGCCCCCGGCUCAACCGGGGAGGGUCAUUGGAAACUGGGAGACUUGAGUGCAGAAGAGGAGAGUGGAAUUCCAUGUGUAGCGGUGAAAUGCGUAGAUAUAUGGAGGAACACCAGUGGCGAAGGCGACUCUCUGGUCUGUAACUGACGCUGAGGCUCGAAAGCGUGGGGAGCAAACAGGAUUAGAUACCCUGGUAGUCCACGCCGUAAACGAUGAGUGCUAAGUGUUGGAGGGUUUCCGCCCUUCAGUGCUGCAGCUAACGCAUUAAGCACUCCGCCUGGGGAGUACGACCGCAAGGUUGAAACUCAAAGGAAUUGACGGGGGCCCGCACAAGCGGUGGAGCAUGUGGUUUAAUUCGAAGCAACGCGAAGAACCUUACCAGGUCUUGACAUCCUUUGACCACUCUAGAGAUAGAGCUUUCCCUUCGGGGACAAAGUGACAGGUGGUGCAUGGUUGUCGUCAGCUCGUGUCGUGAGAUGUUGGGUUAAGUCCCGCAACGAGCGCAACCCUUAUUGUUAGUUGCCAUCAUUCAGUUGGGCACUCUAGCGAGACUGCCGGUGACAAACCGGAGGAAGGUGGGGAUGACGUCAAAUCAUCAUGCCCCUUAUGACCUGGGCUACACACGUGCUACAAUGGGAAGUACAACGAGUCGCUAGGCCGCGAGGUCAUGCAAAUCUCUUAAAGCUUCUCUCAGUUCGGAUUGUAGGCUGCAACUCGCCUACAUGAAGCCGGAAUCGCUAGUAAUCGCGGAUCAGCACGCCGCGGUGAAUACGUUCCCGGGCCUUGUACACACCGCCCGUCACACCACGAAAGUUUGUAACACCCGAAGUCGGUGAGGUAACCCUUGUGGAGCCAGCCGCCUAAGGUGGGAUAGAUGAUUGGGGUGAAGUCGUAACAAGGUAGCCGUAUCGGAAGGUGCGGCUGGAUCACCUCCUUU
Molecule: ribosomal RNA, 1439 nt
Filed under: Enterococcus plantarum
Lineage: Bacteria; Bacillati; Bacillota; Bacilli; Lactobacillales; Enterococcaceae
Description: bacterial SSU rRNA
Rfam family: Bacterial small subunit ribosomal RNA
Source: RNAcentral